GGGGCUGUGGCUCAGGGGUAGUGCACUUGCCUGGCAUAUGUGAGACACUGGGUUUGAAUCUCAGCAGCACCU
This is a non-coding RNA of Ictidomys tridecemlineatus (thirteen-lined ground squirrel), 72 nucleotides long. The record is from Rfam. Lineage: Eukaryota; Metazoa; Chordata; Mammalia; Rodentia; Sciuridae.